This 253-nucleotide ribosomal RNA is filed under the name uncultured bacterium. RNAcentral describes it as "partial 16S ribosomal RNA". It matches the Rfam family "Bacterial small subunit ribosomal RNA", at positions 524 to 776 of the family's 1533-position model. The record is from RNAcentral.
UACGGAGGGAGCUAGCGUUGUUCGGAAUUACUGGGCGUAAAGCGCACGUAGGCGGCUUUGUAAGUUAGAGGUGAAAGCCCGGGGCUCAACCCCGGAAUUGCCCUUAAGACUGCAUCGCUUGAAUCCGGGAGAGGUGAGUGGAAUUCCGAGUGUAGAGGUGAAAUUCGUAGAUAUUCGGAAGAACACCAGUGGCGAAGGCGGCUCACUGGACCGGUAUUGACGCUGAGGAGCGAAAGCCAGGGGAGCAAACGGG